This 805-nucleotide long non-coding RNA is filed under the name Homo sapiens (human). RNAcentral describes it as "HSALNT0170876". Lineage: Eukaryota; Metazoa; Chordata; Mammalia; Primates; Hominidae. The record is from RNAcentral.
CAGAACUUUGGCCAAAGGUGAACGGAAUUUUUUAGGAGCAGCAGCCUCCUGCCCCAAGGCCGACCGGCACUGGCAGCACUUUCCUGUUGAAGAAAUCUUCCUGGCGUGUGGUUUCAAAGUGUAAGCACCUCAGUGAUGCACCCUGUCCUAAGCAUUGAGAGGCACGUUUACUUGUGAAUAUGAGACCAUGAGAUUCUCAAUGAUAGGAAAGUGCUGUCCCCCACGGCCUUGCACAGUGGCCUCGGGUAGAGCGGCUAUCAAGAGCAGACAGUGGUCCAGCCUGCUGGGCACCUGGCCUGGGCUGUGGCCCUCCAGCGGGCUGCCCCCUGGCCCCAGGUUAGGGCGUCCAGGAGAGGCUUAGGCCCUCUACUUCCUCACAGUUCCCCAGUUUGAGCCAUCGAAGGCCUUCUUCCUGCCCACCUCCCCGUCUCAGCCACAGCCGUUCCCAAGCACCAGCGUGGCUCCUGGUGCCAGUGACCUGCCAGGAGGCCCCUUGUGAUUAUAAAACCGUUCAGUUGGGCCGGGCGCAGUGGCUCACACCUGUAACCCCAGCACUUUGGGAGGCCGAGGCGGGCGGAUCACGAGGUCAGGAGAUCGAGACCAUCCUGGCUAACAUGGUGAAACCCCAUCUCUACUAAAAAACAAAAAUACAAAAAGUUAGCCUGGCAUGGUGGUGGGUGUGUGUAGUCCCAGCUACUUGGGAGGCUGAGGCAGGAGAAUGGCGUGAACCUGGGAGGCAGAGCUUGCAUGAGCUGACAUCGUGCCACUGCACUCUAGUCUGGGUGACAGAGCAAGACUCCAUCUC